GACGAACGCUGGCGGCGUGCUUAACACAUGCAAGUCGAACGGAAAGGCCCUGCUUUUGUGGGGUGCUCGAGUGGCGAACGGGUGAGUAACACGUGAGUAACCUGCCCUUGACUUUGGGAUAACUUCAGGAAACUGGGGCUAAUACCGGAUAGGAGCUCCUGCUGCAUGGUGGGGGUUGGAAAGUUUCGGCGGUUGGGGAUGGACUCGCGGCUUAUCAGCUUGUUGGUGGGGUAGUGGCUUACCAAGGCUUUGACGGGUAGCCGGCCUGAGAGGGUGACCGGCCACAUUGGGACUGAGAUACGGCCCAGAAUCCUACGGGAGGCAGCAGUGGGGAAUAUUGCACAAUGGGCGGAAGCCUGAUGCAGCAACGCCGCGUGCGGGAUGACGGCCUUCGGGUUGUAAACCGCUUUCGACUGUGACGAAGAGUGAGUGACGGUAAUGGGUAAAGAAGCACCGGCUAACUACGUG
Molecule: ribosomal RNA, 468 nt
Filed under: uncultured bacterium
Lineage: Bacteria
Description: partial 16S ribosomal RNA
Rfam family: Bacterial small subunit ribosomal RNA
Source: RNAcentral